Long non-coding RNA from Etheostoma cragini (Arkansas darter), 203 nucleotides. RefSeq lists it as uncharacterized. NCBI's taxonomy places the organism in Eukaryota, Metazoa, Chordata, Actinopteri, Perciformes, Percidae. The record is from RefSeq and is a predicted model, not a curated record. The transcript has 3 exons.
AGCACCAUAUGCUUUUGUUCAAAAUCCAUUUAGAACAGGCAUUGAGAUUGGUUGCCUGGUAUACGCCUGGUUGCAUCAUAUACCUCAAACAUCAGGUAUCAAUCAUUUUCUUUUUGCCACAGCCAUAAUGUCAGCGAGCACUUUGUACUAUGAAUUCGUCAGGACAAUAAUAAGUUCAAGAAUGGGAACAUUUUCAUUUUCUA